RNAcentral lists this ribosomal RNA (253 nucleotides) under uncultured bacterium. RNAcentral's name for it is "partial 16S ribosomal RNA". It matches the Rfam family "Bacterial small subunit ribosomal RNA", at positions 524 to 776 of the family's 1533-position model. The record is from RNAcentral.
UACGAAGGGGGCUAGCGUUGUUCGGAUUUACUGGGCGUAAAGGGCGCGUAGGCGGUGCGAUAAGUCAGGCGUGAAAGCCCCGGGCUCAACCCGGGAAUAGCGCUUGAUACUGUUGCGCUUGAAUCCAGGAGAGGAUGGCGGAAUUCCCAGUGUAGAGGUGAAAUUCGUAGAUAUUCGGAAGAACACCAGUGGCGAAGGCGGCUCACUGGACCGGCAUUGACGCUGAGGUGCGAAAGCGUGGGGAGCAAACAGG